This 227-nucleotide ribosomal RNA is filed under the name uncultured fungus. RNAcentral's name for it is "partial small subunit ribosomal RNA". The stretch from base 104 to 227 matches the Rfam family "Eukaryotic small subunit ribosomal RNA", at positions 738 to 864 of the family's 1831-position model. Lineage: Eukaryota; Fungi. The record is from RNAcentral.
GGGUCGGCCGGGCGGUCCGCCGUUUCGGCGUGUACUGCCUCAACCCAGGCCGGCCCUUUCCUUCUGGGGAGCCGGCGGCUGCCCCUUCACCGGAGCGCCGCCGGGGAGCCAGGACGUUUACCUUGAAAAAAUUAGAGUGUUCAAAGCAGGCGCACGCCUGAAUACAUUAGCAUGGAAUAAUGGAAUAGGACCUUGGUCCCAUUUUGUUGGUUUCUCGGACCACGGUA